RNAcentral lists this microRNA precursor (154 nucleotides) under Arabidopsis suecica. RNAcentral describes it as "mir-393". It matches the Rfam family "mir-393 microRNA precursor family". The record is from RNAcentral. Lineage: Eukaryota; Viridiplantae; Streptophyta; Magnoliopsida; Brassicales; Brassicaceae.
AGAGAAAGCAUCCAAAGGGAUCGCAUUGAUCCUAAUUAAGCUGAUUUAUUCCCCAAUAUUUUUUUUUUCCUCAUUCGAAAGUUGAAGAGAAAAAAACAAAUUCCAAACAUUUGCUUUCUUCUCCGGAUCAUGCGAUCUCUUUGGAUUCAUUCUU